GUCUUUAAGAAAUUAAUUUAAAGUCUAAUCUGCCCAAUGAUUUUUUAUUAAAUGGCUGCAGAAUUUUAACUGUACAAAGGUAGCAUAAUAAUUUGUUUUUUAAUUAAAAACUAGAAUGAAAGAUUUAAUGAAAUAUAAGCUAUUUCAAUUAAUUUAUUUUUUAAAAUUAUUAUUUAAGUAAAAAAACUUAAAUAAUCUUUAAAGACGAUAAGACCCUAUAGAAUUUUAUUUAAUAAAUUUUAUUUUAAAAUUUAUUAAAUUUUAUUGGGAAAAUAAAAAAAUUAAAAUAAUUUUUUUUAAAAAUUACAUUAUUUAAUGAUAAUAUAUAUCUUAAUUUUUAAAUUAAAAAAAUUAAUUACCUUAGGGAUAACAGCAUAAUUUUUUUUAAAAGAUCUUAUUAAUAAAAAAGAUUAU
Molecule: ribosomal RNA, 414 nt
Filed under: Iphiaulax sp.
Lineage: Eukaryota; Metazoa; Arthropoda; Insecta; Hymenoptera; Braconidae
Description: partial 16S ribosomal RNA
Source: RNAcentral